UUUGCAUCAUAAGUUUCCUAUAAAAGUCGCUACAAAAUUAUACGAAAAUAAUUCCAACGAGUAUCUACAAGCAAUGAAAACGUCUACUAACAUUUUCGUUCUUUUUGCAUUAAUGUGUUUUGUUCAAGUGAUGUGCGCACCAGAGCCAAUAAAUUGGAGAAGAGUGGGCCGAAGAGGUUGGAAAAUUGGACGCCAAGCUGUUCCUGUGAUAAGAGACGGAGUCGAAAUUUACACAAUGCUACAACAACCAUCUUAUCCAUACGGACAACCCCCAUAUUAUUACGGAAAUCCAUAUCAAAUUCCACAGGGUUAUCAACGUUUCCAAUAUGACCACCCCGUCCAGAUGUACUGAUUAAUUGAAUAACUUUUAUGAGUAGUUUAAUCAAGUUUAUUCAAAUUUUGAUGUAAAGUUUUGAGUAAAGGAAUUGUCAAUA
Long non-coding RNA from Tribolium madens (black flour beetle), 434 nucleotides. RefSeq lists it as uncharacterized. The record is from RefSeq and is a predicted model, not a curated record. Lineage: Eukaryota; Metazoa; Arthropoda; Insecta; Coleoptera; Tenebrionidae. The transcript is spliced from 2 exons.